GGACGUGUGACUGAGUGGUCUAAAGUGUGACUCUUGAGUAGUUAUGUUUCAUUAUUGAAACCGUAAGUUCGAAUCUUACCGCGUCCG
Transfer RNA from Sugiyamaella lignohabitans, 87 nucleotides. It matches the Rfam family "tRNA". From Rfam's summary of the family: Transfer RNA (tRNA) molecules are approximately 80 nucleotides in length. NCBI's taxonomy places the organism in Eukaryota, Fungi, Ascomycota, Dipodascomycetes, Dipodascales, Trichomonascaceae. The record is from Rfam.